This 73-nucleotide transfer RNA is filed under the name Ictidomys tridecemlineatus (thirteen-lined ground squirrel). RNAcentral's name for it is "Spermophilus tridecemlineatus (thirteen-lined ground squirrel) tRNA". It matches the Rfam family "tRNA". From Rfam's summary of the family: Transfer RNA (tRNA) molecules are approximately 80 nucleotides in length. Their secondary structure includes four short double-helical elements and three loops (D, anti-codon, and T loops). The record is from Rfam by way of RNAcentral. Lineage: Eukaryota; Metazoa; Chordata; Mammalia; Rodentia; Sciuridae.
GGGGGUAUAGCUCAGUUGGUAGAGUACUUGCUUCACAUGCACAAGGCCCUGGGUUCAAUCCCCAGCACCACCG